Pogona vitticeps (central bearded dragon) is the source of this 74-nucleotide non-coding RNA. The record is from the annotation of a RefSeq genome assembly. NCBI's taxonomy places the organism in Eukaryota, Metazoa, Chordata, Lepidosauria, Squamata, Agamidae.
GGCACCAUAGCUUAGGAGGUUAAAGCAUCUGCCUUGUAAGCAGGAGAUCCUGGGUUCGAAUCCCAGUGGUGCCU